Molecule: long non-coding RNA, 1421 nt
Filed under: Marmota monax (woodchuck)
Lineage: Eukaryota; Metazoa; Chordata; Mammalia; Rodentia; Sciuridae
Source: RNAcentral
GGCAGCUGGAACACAAUAAAAACUUCAGCCUGUAAGUGGUGCUCAUGAACACUGCCCAUUCCAGAAAAUUUAUUCUAUUUAGUGUCUUUCAUAUGAUCAAAAGAGGCAUUUAAAUUUACCAUUAAUUAUAUAUCCACUGUACAGUUAUUAUGAGUACAUUUUAUACUUAGAAAAAUGAACAAAAAGAUUUCUUAUUUAAUGAUAAUGUAUUGGCCUCAUAUGAUAAUUGAGAGUGAAAGUCACAUUAGUCUCAUUUCUCUCAUUCACAACCAUGUCAGAGAAACUGAAGAUGUGCUUAUUUUUUCAUCAUAAACAAUAUUAAAAAAUAAAUUUAUGGCAUUUACUUUAACACAGUUCCUGUCUUUGUAAAUAAUGAAUAUUGUUGAAGUGUAACUGCAGGACCUACAAGAUUUCCGUGUUCACGGGACUCUUCAAUAGUGCUGGGCUCUGCUCACUCACUAGCUGAGUGAUUCGCUCCCUAGGAGGCACCUUCCAGCACUGAUACAAAUUUAAGCCCAGCGCUUUAAUUAUUCUCUCAAUCUCCUACAACUUGGUAAGGAUUAUAUAGCUCUAUGACUCAGCAGUGGGGUAGGUGUUAUUUUCUACCCAUUUUAUCCUUAAAUCUCCAUUAUCAUCAUUUAAAAAAAUAAAUUCAACCUACAGACUGAAUCUCACAAAUCACCAUCAGUGUUAAACAGUGACUUCAAGUAAAUAUCCAGGCAAUUUAAACACCCUGUCAGGGUUGUUGUCCUGUCAAUGAAUCUUCCAUUUCUAUUUCUCCUUCCAUAAAUGACACAGGACAUGGAAGCUUAGUGUCCACAUUUUGUGUUCUGUCUCCUUGAUCUUUGCUGACCUUCACUAAGAUGUGUCUUCUUCCACCUAGGCAUCCAACAAAGGUAUCUCUCAAGUGAAAUUGGCAACUACAAUUGGGAACAGUGGACCUUCCCUUGUCUAAGAUCUCAAAAUUCUUCACUGAGUCACUUCCUUACCCUACCCCAAGCCCUUCUUCAUCCUUUGACAGGAGCUUGGUGGAAAUUCUUUAUGUCCUAGAACAAUGAUUCACACCCUGUUAAGUCCUUAUCUCUAGUAUUUCCCCAUUUUAUUUUCCCCACAAUACUCUGUUUUAAUGGAAGUAUAAUAGACAUACUACUAAAUACAUAUAUUAACACAUGGAUUAUGGAUUUUAUAAAAUAUAUACAUUUCCAUCAACUCAAAUCGUUUCCAGUCAGUUUCCAUAUCGGAGACAAGCAUUAUUUCAGUUUUCUUAACAUAGGUUUUGCUUCCUGAAACUUCAUAUAAAGGAUAAAAAUCAUCUUUUGCUAAAAAAAAAAAUGAGACUCUUCUGUUUUCUAAUGUAUACCAGGAGGUGUUCUUUUGUAAUUGCUGAGUAGAAUUUUGUAUGAAAAUAACACAAAUUGUUC